RNAcentral lists this long non-coding RNA (2295 nucleotides) under Anser brachyrhynchus (Pink-footed goose). RNAcentral describes it as "lncRNA (ENSABRG00000020172.1)". Lineage: Eukaryota; Metazoa; Chordata; Aves; Anseriformes; Anatidae. The record is from RNAcentral.
GUGUAGAAUAAAUGGAGACAGGUAGAUAGAAAAACCAGGAUUUGUGGAAGGUGCAAAGCUUCCAGCAAUGACUGCUGUGGGAGGUGGGCACCGGGUUUCACUGAGGGUUUUCAGUCAUGAGCGUUUUCAUGGAACUGGCUAGAUAACCCCUUCAUGGAAAACCAUCAGAGGCCAGUAUGCCACCUGGUUUUGUGAGACAUCCAAGCAGAAGUCCUGUCACAGGCCCUUUUAUUCAGUUCACGGCCUUGAAGCCACCGAUCUUCCAAGUGGAAACCUCCACCUUAUGUCAACGCUGCCAAAGCAGCCGAUUCGGGCCUUGCUGUCCCCUGGGGCUGCUUGUGGGGGAAGCAGCCUGGCUUGGGGCCUUCCCUGGUGAAUUUGAAGGCCUCGGGCCCCCAGGAGGCUCUUGAGGAGUUCAUCACCCAAAAUACACACCUUAAAGAGACAAUGGCAGAGGAACAGGGAGGGGCAUUAGGACUUGGUGGCAGCUUCCAGAGCAGUGGGCACCUCUGGUACUCUAACGCCUGGGACUCUUUUUGUGUUUGCACUUGAAGGGAGGGUGUAACGAGGACGGAGCCAGGCUCCUUUCAGUGGUGCUCAGUGCCAGGACAGGAGGCCGUAGGCCCAGCCUGGAGCCCAGGAGGUUCCCCUGACCCCCAGGCUGCCCAGAGGCUGUGGGGUCUCCUCCUUGGAGAGCUCCAGAAGCCGCCUGGCCACAGGCCCGGGCACCCUGCUCAGGGUGGCCCUGCUGGGGCAGGGGCUGGGCCCGAGGGACCCUGAGGUGCUGCCAAGCCAACCCAAUCCCUUGGUGCUGUUAAACCCAUGGCAGCUGGUGUGAAGCAAAUCCUUCUGUCCUCAUCCUGUCCCCAUGUUUUGUUGCCUGGCAGCGAAGCUGUGGUGGAAUUAUGUAUAAACCCCAAAGCACUCUUACUAGUAACCUGGCUCAAUGGCACCCUGUAGUCUGCCGAGCAAUUGUAACAGCGGCUGUGCAGGAACAGCAAAAAGACGACAAAUUCGUUCCUCGAAUGCAGCUGGACACUGGACUGAGAAGCUUGAGAAAGGCAAAGCAAUGGCAAGGUGAAGAGGGAAGGGGGGCGAGGGAAGCACGAGGUGACACUGGGGGGGGUGAUGCCAACACCUUAAAUGGGGUCUUAAGACCCCAUUUCCUUUCUUUUUCCACCAAGCCCUUUCCCUUACAAGGUUUGCUGGUGCCAUGGGUGGGCAAGGAGCAAAAAGGACAAGGUGGGAUGCAAAUAUCCCAGAGACUUGUGUUUUCCGUGCUAGCAUCCCAAUAACACAUCUGUCUCCAAGGUCUGAGCCUGUGCUGACUCACACAUCCAACCCAGCUCUUCUGCAUGGGACAAGUCCAAGACGAAUAUCCCGCAUCUUGGGAUGCCCAAAGGGCAGGGCAGAAGGUGCCUCACCCUGCCAGGGCUUCUGAAAUGACACCUUAAGCUUUUUCCCUGCAGGAAGGUGUCUUUGGUUGUGACUGGUGCUGAUGGCUGCCCCAAUUUCAGCCUGUUCAAGCCUCAGGGCACAGUGAGAUGUCAAUGUAGUGAUCAGCGUUCCCUGGUGGACUUUUCUGGACCUUGGGCCCACCUAAUGGUGCCAAGUUUCGGUGUCACAGAGGGCUGUGUCUGCAUAUGGGGUAGGAUAAGGAAUAAUUACCAUAUAAUUAUGAUCCAGGUAAAUGCUGCAGCCAACACAUGCCUGAGAAAGAGGGGUUCGUGGAGGGGAAAAGGGAAAUGGGAUUUUUAAAUUAGAGAUGGGUAAUUUAUUGACUGUGAGCUCAUGUCUCGAUGUGUCAUUUGAUGUGUCUUUUGACAAGUGCUAUGGCAUUGCUUGUAGGUGGUCCUGGUGAUCAUACACUGAGCUGAAGAUCUGAAUUUACAUCCUUGUUAAUAUCUGGAGGGACUGUGACAGCCUGGGGGAGUGGACAGCAAGCCGUGAGUUUAACGUACACAAUAUUUAAGACACAUCUGUUAUCAAACAACUGUGAAACUGAUUUUGUCCCUUUGUCCCAGCACAGGUUUUUCUCCGCUUUGUAUUUGCUCCCUGGGAGAAGGGGAAUGGUGGGGGCUUGUUGAAGGGCUGUUGAUUAAAUCACAAAAAUGUGAAUAUUGGCACCGAGGCUGGAAAAGAGCAGCGCGGUUGCCCACUCCCCUCUCAGUCCCCACAGGUUUGUUCUUCACCAGGGAUUAUUUGUGCCCUCGUCUGUCCCGUUUGAAAUGUCACAUCUCCUGCUGCAAUUGGAAGGAGCUUUUAUCCGUGGGGUGUGUGUGCGUGUGUAUGUGU